This 55-nucleotide transfer RNA is filed under the name Tityus serrulatus (Brazilian scorpion). RNAcentral describes it as "tRNA-Gly". The record is from RNAcentral. Lineage: Eukaryota; Metazoa; Arthropoda; Arachnida; Scorpiones; Buthidae.
AACACAAAAGUAUUAUAGUAUAACUAAUUUCCACUUAGUAGGAUUUAUUGUGAAA